GAUAGAGAUAAGAAAGGCCAAUGCCCUUCAUAUCCACUGACAAAGCCAGAUAUAUUAAGGAGAAGCUCAGCUCAGCACUCAGCCAAGGCCCAUUCUGGCAAGAUGAAUCCCACCAGCUUCUUCCUCCUUACAAUGCUCCUCGUUCUGGUGACAGAAACAGCAGCAAGGAGACCCCGUGAAAAAUUCUCACAAGAGUCUGAAGAGAGUUCUUCUAGUGCAGCCUCUGAAGUUACUUCAUCGGGGGAAAGCGGGGGAUCAAGUUCUUCCCAGGACGACAACAGCCCAAGUGACAAGUCAGGGGGUUCCUCCUUUAAAAAAUCAAGCAGCAUGUUCAAGGAGAUAGUCUAUGAGGAAAGGAAGAAAAAACAGAGUGGUGGUGAUGGUGGUGAUGGUGACGGGAAGAGUGACUCAGAAAUAGAGCGGUCUUAUGUAAGAAGAAAGGAAAAGCAACGGCUUGCACAAGAAGUAGCUAAAUAAUGUGGCUAUGAACCAACUGUCAAGUGGACAAAAGUAAUGGUAAGAAUUUGCCCAGGUGGAGGGCAUACCU
Molecule: long non-coding RNA, 547 nt
Filed under: Meriones unguiculatus (Mongolian gerbil)
Lineage: Eukaryota; Metazoa; Chordata; Mammalia; Rodentia; Muridae
Description: lncRNA (ENSMUGG00000020740.1)
Source: RNAcentral